UCUGGAAAUGGUUUCUCAGGAGAUUCUACUUGGAAUCUCCACUAUCCCAUCUAUUCAAUAGUUGGGGCUGAACCUUCUUAGUCUGGCUGCUUAGUCCUAUGUUGUGCCCGGCUACUGGAUAGUUUCAAGGUGGGACAAAAGGGAGAAGAAAAUGAGUUGGGCUUAGUUGAGUCACACACAGGGAUGUGGGACCAGCAACCCGUAGCCACCCUUCCGAAAAUCCAUGGUUAAUAACUAGAGAUAUAAAAUCACAGCUCAAAUGAAUAAGGUUAAGAUCCACCACACUUCAUCAGAUAAUCCUGGCUUUACUAGGGAUGGUAAAAGUAAUCUGUAAUAGUAUCCACUGGUCCAUACAAUGACAGAGUGAGGAGAUAAAGCUGCUUGUCUCUAAGCACACUGUACCAACUAAACCUCACACAAAUGAGAAGCCUUCUUGCCCACAGAAUUAAGGAGAGAGCACAUAUGGUCUCUAGUAAGUGGAAAUCAAGGUAUCACUUUCUGUCUGCAACACCCUCUCCCCUUCCCCCAUGAAGCAUCUCCUAGAAAAGUAAACAGUAGUCUAUGGUCUACUGCACGAGCUCAAAGCAGCUGGCCAUCAGCUAACAAGGCUAGGGCAUGAGCUUCCUGGUGGAGAAAAAACUAAAAAUGCAUGAAGAAGAGGAAAUGAACGAAAGGAUGCUUACCAGGCUGUGGAUCAGUCAUGUUAGCCUGACUGUCAAAAAGUAACCGGGGAGGUAGAUAAUUGAGUAAAUAAAUCCAUCAAAUGUGUGUAACAGAGACUUUAAACAAUGAUCAAUCCACCCUGAUUAUUGGCUCCAGAAUUUCUUCUCUAUACGGAGACCGAAGACAGAAUGUGUUUCAAGAGAGUCACGAGGGACUCUCUUGAAGCCUUUUUUGUAUAGCUGUCACCUUUCACUUGCAUGGGGUAUCUUCUUGAAAUGUUCCUGGAGGGAAAUUUUGGUAGUGUGGCCAUUAGCUGAUUCCGUCAUGUAAGUGUCCUCGCUGUUAGAAGACAAGGGGAAGGGAGCCCUGUCCGCUCAUUACCAGUCCACUCAUGGAGUGUUAUUCUAGCACCUGUUUAAAUUCUAGCACCUAUUCUAGCACAGGCUAUUUUUUCCUUCAAUUUUUUCUCUUACCCAUCUAAAGGGAUAUUGUCUGUGUUAUAGAGUCUUAAUUAGUGCCUCUUAGCUGGCUUUAUGCUCUUACUUCCUUUGUGUUUUUUUUUUCUACCCAAUUUGCUCUGUUGUGACAUGGUAAUACAUGACAAAAAAAGGUAAACAAUAAAAUAGAUGUAGACGGUCACAUUAGUUCUCAGAUUUAGUCCAGUUUUGCUUUGAGGGGCUUGAGAUAGGAACGUAGCCUGCUGCAUUGAGCACUGAUUGUCUGGCAUCACAGAAAUCUUCCUGGGCAGAACACACAUCUACUUGAAAUCAAAGGAGAGUAGAAGGACCAUACACUUGCUGCAAAGAUAAUACAGUGUAGUUAUCCAGGGCUCAGAAGUGGACUUUCAUCAGGGAUCCCUAUCAUGGCAUCAGGAAAGGGAUAAAGGAAUAAGGAAAAUUCACCAAAAUCAGUCAGUUUAAAGUACAAACACAUGUGUGUUCUUGAACCAUACCCAAAGAAGAAAAGUAAAAGUUGCCCACAAAAUAAUCACUAAGAUUUUAAUUGUAGCAUUAUAUGGAGCACUGAAAAUGUCAGUCUUAUCAAGUUGGGGAGAGUGCCUAAAGAUAGAUGAAAUGCAUUCAGAUUCGUCAACAAAGCAGCAGGACAAACAGCUCUGGGUCCUUUUACCUUUGAAUGUAAAUUGAUCAGUUGCCUCGAAGAUGUGUAGAGAACAUGUAUUAAGAACCAACAAUAGUUGAUUUUUGGUUUUGUUGUUACAAUUGAAUAUGGAAUUUCUACUAUUAGGUUAAGAUGCCACAAAGUCCACAUCACCUUCUGGAAACAUCAAUCUAAAGGCCACCAGUGCAACAUCCCAUGUAUUUAGACCCCACAAACACCAAUGUUUAUGCACCAUUUCAUGACUAUUUCAUUUAAAAAUUUUGAGAGACAGGAAGUGGGGAAAUAUCUUACAAUAAUGUUCUGGUAUCACACACACACACACACACACACACACACACACACACACACCUAUCUACUUUUACUAUAUUACUGUUAGUUUGUGGGGAGAAUGUAAACAUUAAUGAGAUUGUUUUAAAUGAGAUCAGAUGUUUUUCCUGUGUUGGGAAUCAAGCUCAUAGCCUUGCACAUGCUAGGGAGGGGGUUUGUCAUUGAGCUGCACUCCAGCCUGAGAGCAGAUCUUAAAUAUCAAGGCUACAAUGUCAACGUAGACUCAGAGAAACUCUUCUUUUGCCCAGAAGCAGCAGGAGCAGUGUUUGGCUCCCAUCCUUCUCUGCAAGUAAACCCACUUCUCCCAGUCACAGAGACUGGGCACUGACGCGUUCUCACCUCUAUUUUCAAUGCAUGAUUUUGCUACUUCAUUUCUUCAUCCUUAACUAUACCAGAACGCUUGCCUGAUUCAUAUAUUUUUUUGCCUGAUUCAUAUCUUAAGGGAACAAGAGAUAAUUAAAUAAGAUUAAAGAUGUAGAGAUUCCAUAAAGCAAUAGAUGACAUAUGCAUGCACUAAAAAUUAGCACAAUCAUAACACCGUUUUGAACAAAAGUAAAUAGAUACGUUACUAGCUGCACACAUUGAUCGACGUGUUGGGGUUUGGAUUAACUACAUGCGAUAAUUUAAUUGGGGCUUGACUUUUGUUAUGAACAAAUGCACUUAGGUAUAAUAGAUAUGGCAGGGGCAUGCAAACUCUCAUCCGACAAUUCCUUAUCAUCAAUAUUACAAAUUGCUUCUGAAAUUUGCAGCAUCAAAUCCGAUAUCGUAAAAGGCUAAUUAGAAAGAUAGUGCACCAAAAAUAAAACAAUCGAUUAGCAUAUUUUAGAACCAAUGCUUCAUGCCAUGAAUUUUAAAUGUUAACAUAAAGUGAUUUCUAUCUAAGUUGAUGUUGCUAAGUUACACCCAGCUGUCUCUGAGAGGAGAAAAGGAGCAUCUUUCUGAACUGACUAUUGGUUCAAAUCCCAGAUCCCUUGCACCCUGGACUUCAUUUUCCUAACCUUGGCAAUGAGGAUCCUAACUAUUAUUCCAUCAUACGUUGUCAUGGACACUUGAGAAUUUAGAUGUCCAGCUAGUAUAGAUCGAGUGUAGGACUUCUCACUAUGGGCAGCCAUAAUACAGUGACUAAUCAAAGCGUUGUGGAAAUUUCAACACACUUGGUCCAGGGGGUGGAACCAUUAGGAGGUGUGGCCUUGCUGGAGUAGGUGUGGCCUUGUUGGAGUAAGUGUGUUGAAGUAAGAAGGCUUUGAGUGAGCUUCCUCCUAGCUGCCUGAGGAUGCCAGUCUUCCCCUGUUUGCCUUUGGAACAAGAUGUAGAACUCUCAGCUCCUUCUACAACACUGUGUCUGCUGGGGCACCGCCAUACUUCCUGCUACGACAAUAAUGGACUGAACCUCUGAACCACACAUCUGUUGGAACCCACUACUACAGAGAAGACCAGCUCAAAUGACUAGCCUCGUGGGAUUGAGCAACUACUGGAUUCUUGGACUUCCCCUCCACAGCUGCCCAUUGUUGGGUUAGUUGGACCACAGACUGUAAGUCAUCACAAUCAAUUCCCUCAAUACACAGAGACAUUCCAUAAGUUCCGUGACUCUAGAGAACCCUGACUAAUACACCGGGUCCUGACACCAAGAGUUCCAUAGAUGUGGAACAAGGAAUAGACAGAUGGAUGACAACAGAAGUCCAGAGGACAUGUCUAUCUGUAGAUGAAACUUAGCCAUGAAUAGCUGACAAGGGACUCAGCUAACGACUGAGGUAAGCGAAACCCAGCACCACCAAACAAAACUUCCAUCAAUGAUUUAAACCAAAAUUCUCCCAUUUAUCACAUAGGUGAUUUCCUCUAUCUUGCCUCUGCUUUCAGUUGGAGCUCUCUGUGAACAUUUAUUUGUUUUACUCCCAAUAUCCUGCCAGAGCAUUAAACACAUUUUCAGUACUGCCUUCUUGGCUGAGCUGAGUUCUUACUUUUAAGUAAGCCAGAGCCAUGUAUGAUACUGCACUUUUAAUCCCUGCAUUUAGGAGAGGUGAGGCAGGAGGCUCAAGAGUUCAAGCCCAGCUUCAGUUAAGAGGGAGACUGUUUCCAAAAAUGCAAGCAUGCAUGCAACAUGGUGAAGAAAGAAGUCAGUCUGAUUAGCUCGCUCCCUUGUUUAAAACUAAUUAAUGCAGCUCUUUCGCUAUAAAGGACUUUAUGCUCCUGUCAAGGUAGAAACAGCCAUUCAUCCACCCUGCCUCCUUUCAAAGGCAGGACUGUCAUUUUAUUCCCCCAAAUAAAAGUUUCCUUUCUGACAUAGUGAACUCUUUCUAAUAAUGCUCAAAGUGUCUUUUCUCCUGGAGCCUAUUUUCUUUAAUAGCUACACUGUUAACAUUUCUUCUUUAUGCAGCUGAUUCCCUCAGCUCUGCGAAUGUUCAUUUACAGGAAAUGUUCAUUUAAAGAAAAUGUAGGCAGAGGCUUAAAUCUUAGCUACGGCCAUCCUGCCAUCCUCUAGUCUACUGAAACAGGCUGCCUCUGCCUCUGGCAGAACAGUUAUUUCACUGAGCUACAAAUGUUUUGAAGGAAAACACAAGUUAAAAAGACACAUUUUUUCAUAGUGCGGAAUCAAUGGGAUCUGUUUUUAACUGCUACAUUCUUUCAUUUCUAUUUAAAUACUGAAUCUAUUUGAGACUCUCUCUCUCUCUUUCUCUCUCUCCCCCACCUCCCUCCCUCUCUCCCUCUCCUUUCCUUCCCUCCUUCCCCUCGCCCCUGUGUGUGUGCAUGUGUGUAUGUGUGAGUGUAUGUGUGUGUGUAUGUGUGUAUGUGUGUAUGUGUGUGUGUGUGUGUGCGUGUGUGUCUAUGUUCCUGUUAACAUGAUAAGUGCUCUCCAACCGAGCUACAUCACUAUCCUAAUUACCUUUAACUGGCAGCUUGACCUAGCCUAGAGUCAUCUGAGAGGAAAUUACCUACGUCGGAUCGGCCUUUAGACAUAUCUGUAUAUCCGUGGAAGAUGUUCUUGAUUGGUUAAUGCAGGAUGAACUAUAUAGGAAAUGUAAGAAAGUGAGCUGAGUCUGAGCCUGAGUUAGCCAGACAGUGAGCUAGCAAGCAGCCUUUCUCCAUCGUUCCUGCUUCAGUCAGUGCCCGCUCUGACUUCUCUCAAUGAUGAGCUGAUACUUGGCAAUGAAAGCCAAGAAAACCCUUUCCUCCUCUUAAGUUGCUUUUUGGUCAAAAUGUUUUCUUAGAAAGGAAACUAAGUCACCAGCCUUCUAGACACUUUUGAAGCAACUAUCAACAUGAUUAUUUUCUCAAUUUCGUUUUUUUUUUUUUUUUUGGAAUAUGCAUUGCUACUACAGACUAACAGAAGUAAUUUUAAGUGUUGAUUUUGUUUUUUUUGAAAGUUCACAGAAUGAAUUUAUUACUUUUAAUGGUUUAAAGGUAGAUUCCUUGGGUUUUGUGCAUAUAAGGCCAUUUCAUCUGCACACAGAUAACUUACUUCUCCGAUUUUGGUGUCUCUUGCUUAUUUCUCUUGCCUCAUUUGCCUAGGACUUUCAGCAUAUGUUGGGGAAGUGAGGACAAUGGAAUUCCUGGUUUUUUCUUACCUCCAAAGAAAGCUUUCAGUUUGAUUUUUCAAAACUAUUGAGUAUGAUAUGAUUGCUGGUGUUUUCAUAUCUAAGUAUUUUUCUUAUUUUCCCUGUUUGCUAACUAUUUUUCAGACAUCCUAAAGGAUACUGAAUUUUUUCAGCUGCUUUUUCUGUAUCUGAAAUGACUAUGAGUUGUAUCCCUCUCUCUGUUAAUGUGCAUUGUGCUGAAUUAUUUACAUAUGUGUCAAAUCCUCUUGGCAUCCUGGGUAUAAAUUUCAAAUCAAUUUGAAAGGUAUAUGAAACUUUCAAAGUACUGCUGUGUUUGGUUUUUGGGUUCUUGGAAAUAGCUUAAUAAAGGAGAAAGAAAAUUUAUGUGCUGCAAAUUAUGUCACUGUAAGAAAAUUUCAAAAGACACAAAUAAAUGGAAAGACAUCUUUUAUUUGUGAGCAAAAGACUAAACAUAGUUUUUAAAUUGAAUAAUUAAUUAUUAAUUAAUUAAAUUUACAUUUAAUUAAAUUCACAUGAUAAGCAAGUGCUCUACAACUGAGCUACAUCACUAGCUGGCCUAAUUACUUUUAACUGGCAGCUUGACCUAGGCCAGAGUCAUCUGAGAGGGUGCAGUUUCUGCUCCCUCCUCUACUCCUAGGCCUUUCCUCCCCUUCCCCUCCCGUCCCUUCCCCUCCCCUUCCCUCCCCUGCCCUUCCCACUCCUCUUCUGUUUCUCUUCAGGAAAUUGGAGCCCUCCCCUUUUCUGGAAACUAAAUAUUGUUAAAAACCAUAGUAAUCAAAGAUGUCUACAGAUUUAGUACAAAUAAAAAGAGUUCUCUUAGAUGUAAUAAGGAACUAUGAAAAGCACCUACUAGCUUAAGCAAUAUUGGAACAGAACAGAGCUAAAGGCAUCACAUUUCUUUAUUAAAACAUACCUGAAAUCUAUAGCAAUCCAAAUAGUAUGAUGCCAGUAAAUAAAGAAAGGAACUGGACACUUAGACCAAUGGAAUAAAAAAGAUAACCUAGCAGCACAAGUUUGAUUUGCUGGAUUAUUUAUAAAUAAACAUAUCUGCAUGUAACAACUGUUAAUGAAAAAAGAGGCUAUGAGUUUGAAAGAGAGCAAAGAGGGUUACACAGGAGGGUUUGCAAAGAGGAAGGGUAUGGAGUAAAUGAUGUAAUUAUAUUAUAAUCUCUGUAGUGGUGUGAAUAGGUUUGGCCCCCAUACAUUCAUGUUUUUUAAUGCUUGGCCCACAGGGAGUGACACUAUUAGUAGGUGUGCCCUUGUUAGAAUAGGUGUGGCUUUGUUGGAGGAAAUGUGUCACUGUGGGGUGGGCUUUGAAGGCUCCUAGUGCUCAAGUUACACCCAGUGUGGAAGGGAUCCUUGUUUAGAUGCUUGAGGCUACUCCUGGCUGCCUUCCUAUCAAGAUGGGGAACUCUUCUCUCUUUGUCCAGCAUUGUGCCUGCCUGCAUGCUGACAGCAUUCCUGCCCUGUUGAUAAUGGACUGAACAGAUAAAACUGUAAGCCAGCCCCAAUGAAAUGUUCACCUUUAUAAGAGUUGCCUUGGUCAUCGUGUCUCUUCACAGCAGUGGAAACCCUAAGACAAUCUCAUAAAUGAAUGAAUAAAUAAAUAAAUAAAUAUUGGACGUGAAGGAGUACUAUGAAGGUGAGGUAGAUCUAGGAGGAGUCAGGGGAGAAGUGAUGGUGAAUAUGAUCAAAAUACAUUGAAUAAAAUUAUCAAAGAGGGAAGAGGAUGGAGGUAAAUUAACAAUAAGGAUAUCUGAAAAGGUUAUAAGGAAUCAUUCUAUUAACCACAAAUGUAAAUAAAAACUUAUAAAUAAAUAUAAGCAAUUAUAAAUAAAAAGUAUAAUAAGAAUAAUUGUGUGUAUAAAUAUUCAUAUGUAGUUUAAAUAAAAUCUUCUUAUCUGGGCUGACAAUGAUCAAGAGUCAAAGAUCACCUAACAAAAUCCUUCAAUUUCAGGAAUGAGAAACCUGCUUUUCGUUGUUGAUCUGGUGCAGUAACUGUUAGGGUGUAGCAAUGGCAUGGUUGGUGUAACCAAUAGCUCCCUAAUGGGACUUGAAAUCCACUCAACAAAAUGGAAACCAGGCUUCCUACUGAAAACCUAGCUAACUAUUCAGGGUUAGUGAACUCAUGGAUUGUGGAGGAGAACCCACAAACCAUCACUUUACUAAAUUAGCAUAAUCCACAGCUACACGGCUCCAAGAAAGUAUUACUUCAUGCUCGUCAGCACAGCUAGUAUGAAAGGAAAGAAGUGGGGGCUGGAGAGAGGACUCAGAGAUUAAGAGCCAUUCUGCCCUCACAGAGGACCUGGGUUCUGUUCCAGCAUUUAAACUGAGCAGCUCAGAAACACAUGUAACUCCAGCUCCAGGAGAUCCUACCCCCUCUUCUGGACUUCAUAGAUACAUGUAUGUGCAUCUCUCUCUCUCUCUCUCUCUCUCUCUCUCUCUGUCUGUCUCUCUCUCUGUCUCUCUCUCUCUCUCUGUGUUAAUAAAAUAAAUGCUUAGAAAGUAAACAUGUGUAUUAGUAAGGUAUUGACGGUGAGAUUGGACUUCAGUGCUCUGUUGAACGUAACAUAAAAUGGUGCAAUCCUAGGCCAGGGAUUAUAAAAGUCUUUCAAAAAGUAAAACCAGAGCUGACACAUGACUGAGUGACAUUACAUUUCAAUACUUUCAGAAAAGAGUUGAAAUCAGGAUCUCAAAGAGAUAUCCACAUUCUCAAGUGUACAUCUUUUAUAAUAGUCAAGACAGGAAAGUUUAAUGCUCAGUGACUGAUGAAUAAUCACACACACACACACACACACACACACACACACACACACUGUGUCAUUUCAUUCAGGCUGAAAACAAUGAAAUUGCUCCAUGUGCCACAGCACCAGUGAACCUUGAGUCCCAUGCUUAGUGAAACAAAACAGUCAUAGAGGGGCAAAUCCUGCAAAAGUGCACUGACACUAACCAUCAAAGUGACCAAGUUCAGAAGCAAAGGUGGAGUGGCAGGUUCCCAGGCUGUGGAGGGGACAGGUUGAUGUAUAUAAAGGAUUAGCUUGGCGGGCUGUAGAAACAUCAGUUCUGUGUGUACUUGACCAUAACUGGCGUUUGAUAAUGUGCUUUGCAUUCACACUUUUCUCAAGAAAGCAGAGCUCAUGUUAUCUAUUGCAGGCUUUACAUUUUAGCUAUUAAAAAGAAAUAUCCUUAUACUCUAAAGUCUUUCAGUGAGAAGGAAACAAAGUAAAAGGCAUAGAAAACUAGAUAACACAGACCGAGAACAUUUAUCUCCGUCUCCUAAACAACUCAUGAAUCAAUCAUGACAGAAACCAAUAAUUCAUUGUGGGCUACAUUGUCACAGAAGGUGAAUCACUUAUGUGAAAAACCAAUUCCAGCGGCAAAGAAAAAAAAGCAUGAGAAUUUGUAACAAAUCUUCCUUAUGGCCUACCCAUCCAACGCACUCACUAUCAUCUAAUGGCUUGUUAACCUUGCAUGGCCAUUCUACUGUGUAAUCGCAUAGGCUCGCAAGGCAGAUGAGGGAGAGAAGCAAAUGGAUCCAAACCAAUUCUGCCUCUUCUGAUGGGAAAACUAUCCCCAUCUUGUGAUGUGCUCAGAAAUUCUUGGCAACUUUCCUGUAAACAAAAUGCAUUCACAGCCAAGGUCUUACUGUAGGUGUCAAUCCAACCUCACCGCUUCACCCUACAUUUAGCAAGUAGUUUACAGAAGAAAAGGGUGUGGAAUGUGAUAACCGGAUAUCAAAACUAUUACCAAUAACAAGAAGUUUUCACACUGUUUUGUUCUAUGGAGAAAAAUUGUACACAAAACAGAUUAUGUAUAAUAAAGAUAGAUACAUGUGAUAGUCAAUGUGUAUUUAUCACUUAGCAAAGAAACAAAUGCUAUGCUAAGAGUUUGGGAUGUUUCAUAUGUCUUUGGUGCUUCCAAAAACAUUUACACAUAUAAGCAUUUCAUCAUCCUAAUUUAAUCACUAUAGGAAAGUAAAAAGUGAAAUAAAGUCACAGAAACAGAGAAAACAAAAUCCUCCCUGGCCUCAGGAGGAAACAUGUCAGAGUCUCACAGUAAGCUAUUGUUUUAGUAUACUCCCUCUAAAAUUCCUGUCUGGGUUUCCUUUCAUAAAAAGAACCAUCAGUCACACUAGUGAAGCCUCCAGAAUUAAUUCAUCAACUAAUUUCUUUCCAAGAUUCUAUAAUAUAUGUUCGAAAGUGAAAUCCAAAAGCUCAGAGAGGUGAUAUCAGUUCUGCGAGGCACAGGUAAAAGAUGGACACACACUUCCCUCCACUAGAUUCUCAGCCUCAUCUCCAUUCUUGGGCAUCAGAGCCUCUGGGGCACAGGUCAUUCUUACAUGAUGAGUUUGACACAACUUUACAUAAAUGUUCCACAACUUUAGCCUCUGAAUUUGACUUUAAGGGCCUUUACAUGUUUGUGUUCUCCAGGGUCCUGGACUUGAUCUUCUGUCUCUAUUGAAUUGAUACACUUUCCUUGGUGUUUCAGGCAAGACCAUUUUGUUCCUAUCAACUGUAACAUUAAAAAAAUCCAACUAAA
Non-coding RNA from Rattus norvegicus (Norway rat), 10202 nucleotides. Lineage: Eukaryota; Metazoa; Chordata; Mammalia; Rodentia; Muridae. The record is from RefSeq and is a predicted model, not a curated record.